CGCAGCCAGGGGUUUUUGCUGAGCUCGCAGAAGGGGAAGGGCAGGCCCCGGAGAGGGCUGGCCCUUGGUUUUCUCUAUGAAUGGGCUUAUGGGUAGCAGCUGCUGUUGCAUCGGGAGAAGGAGCGUGGCACAUGCCCCAGGGCUGAGCCCCGCUUUAGGUGAAUAAUGUUGUCAACAUGUCUGUGAAGUCAUUGCUUUGUGAGAGAAUCACCGUUGCCAAAGAACUAAUAAAGAGAGCAGAAGCCCUUUCCAGAUCACAAAAAGGAGGCAUAGAAGGUGGAGCAAAGCUAUGCAGCAAAUUGAAGGCAGAGUUGAAAUUCUUACACAGGGUGGAGGCAGGGAAGGUAGCCAUUAAGGAGUCCCAUCUGCAGAGUACCAAUCUCACACACCUCCAAGCCCUAAUUGAGUCAGCAGAGAACCUGGAGGAGGUCAUCAGUGUCCUUCAUGUCUUUGCUUAUGAAGACAGCUUUGGAGAAAAGCAAACGCUGGUGGUAGAUGUUGUUGCAAAUGGGGGCCACACUUGGGUGAAAGCAAUUGGUCGAAAGGCUGAAGCUCUUCAUAAUAUUUGGCUGGGCCGGGGCCAGUAUGGUGACAAAAGCAUCAUUGAGCAGGCAGAGGACUUCCUGCAAGCAAGCCAUCAGCAACCAGUGCAGUAUAGCAACCCCCAUAUUAUCUUUGCUUUUUAUAAUAGUGUGUCCAGUCCUAUGGCAGAGAGGCUGAAAGAGAUGGGUAUAUCUGUGCGGGGAGAUAUAGUUGCUGUUAAUGCUUUGGUGGAACACUUGACUGAAGAGACACACCUAAGUGCCAGUGAAUCUGAUGAAGAAAGCUCUGAACUUCUGCAAGUGACCAGAGUAGAUCGGGAGAAUUUAGUAGCCAGCGUUGCUUUUCCUACAGAGAUCAAAGUAGAUGUGUGCAAUAGGGUUAACUUGGACAUAACUACUUUAAUUACAUAUGUCUCUGCUCUUAGCUAUGGUGGCUGCUACUUUAUCUUUAAGGAGAAAGUGUUAACGGAGCAGGCAGCACAGGAAAGGAAGGAGAGAGUCCUGCCUCCGUUGGAGGAGUUCAUGAAGGGCAAGGAACUGUUUACUUGUGAAUCUGCAGUCAGAGACUUUCAGUCAAUCUUAGACACUCUAGGAGGACCUGGGGAGAAAGAUCGAGCCGUGUUACUCAUGAAGAGAAUUAAUGUGGUGCCAGACCAGCCUUCUAACCGUGCCUUAAGACUAGUGGCUAGUUCAAAAAUCAAUAGCCGCUCUCUAGCCAUUUUUGGGACAGGAGACACUUUAAAAGCCAUCACGAUGACUGCAAACAGCGGUUUUGUUAGGGCUGCAGCUAACCAGGGGGUUAAGUUUAGUGUACUUAUCCAUCAGCCAAGGGCACUGACUGAAAGCAAAGAGUCUGUUGCCACACCUUUCGUAAAGAGCUGCACAGCCGAUAGUGGGCUCUGACUAAGCCCUUCAGUUAAUUUACAUUACUAUAACGAUCUUAAUUUACAUAAAUAUAACUAUCUAAAUGUGCAGUUCAGGAAAUGGAACUGUCAAAACAAUACAUUUUUUUCAUUUUUGCAUGCCAGAUCCUGAGACAUAUAGUAACUUACCUUCAAACGAAAAAUUCAAGUGAAGCAAAAAUCCAUACUUCAUUCAGAAUAGUAACUACAAUGGCUAAAGGAAUGUAAGUGUUUAAAACAUGUAGAUCCUCUGGAAUUUUUGUUCUCCAUUCAGUAGAGCAUAUUCUCUGAAAUAACUGCAUUUCGGUGGAAAAUGUUCACUAUGUUCUACCUUAUUAAAAAGUUCAAUUGGAAAAUCAA
Pelodiscus sinensis (Chinese soft-shelled turtle) is the source of this 1804-nucleotide non-coding RNA. NCBI's taxonomy places the organism in Eukaryota, Metazoa, Chordata, Testudines, Trionychidae. The record is from RefSeq and is a predicted model, not a curated record.